CGGGAAGUCUGUUCCUUGCAGACCCCUGACCACGCGAUGAAUGAAUAAAGUACACUGACACACAGAUAUUCUGCUCUGCCAGUCCAGCUGAGGGUCCAAGCCCCUUACAGGCUCCCUGCUGAGCCCUGUAAACAGUUGCGACUCGGCAGGGAGCCUGUAAGCACCUGGGACCCUCAGAAUAUCUGUGUGUCAGCGUACUUUAUUCACCGGUCAUUGGGUCAGGGGUCUGCAAGGGACAGACUCCCCACAGCUGGUGACCCCUCGAGAGGAGCCCUGCCCCCAGCUGGUGCCCCAUGUGAGGCGCUGUGUGAGGAACUGUGUGAGGAAUGCUGUGAAGGAAACGCGACGAACCGCCCGAAAACGAAGACAGACAGAACAGCAUGUGGAGACUCACACAGUGAAAUUUUCCUCCAAGAAGUACUGCAUGAACAUACCAGGAAAACCAAAAGAAUUCACAGGACCUUUGAAAGAAGUGGCUUGCCGCUGCAAACUCCAUGAGACAGCUGAAAAACUGUGAGUGCCCAAAGUGGCAAAGCGGCUGAGAUCUUUGAACUCCCUUUGAACUUUGAGAAUGGUGACUGGAAGAUGACAAUUCAUGUUGUUUUCAGGAAAGCUAUGACCGAGAAACCAAGGAACUCACUAUCUUGUCCUCUUGGAUGCCAGCUAUAAAUUGAAUCAAGUUGGACACCGGAAUUUUGACCACUUUCCACCUUUCUAUCGUGGUCAGGUUUCUUCAUGAGAAGAGGAGAUUCGGUCACAGGCAUGUACAGAAGAAGACUGUGUGAAGACACAGAAGAAGUUAUCUACAAACCAACGAGAGAGGCUUCAGAAGAAACCAACAUUGUUGACACCCUGAUCUUGGAUUUCUAGACUCAGGAAUUAUGAGAAAAUAAAUUUUUAUUGUUUAAGCCACC
Molecule: long non-coding RNA, 914 nt
Filed under: Homo sapiens (human)
Lineage: Eukaryota; Metazoa; Chordata; Mammalia; Primates; Hominidae
Description: HSALNT0017418
Source: RNAcentral